AACUAACGCUGGCGGCGCGCCUAAUACAUGCAAGUCGAACGAUGUAGCAAUACAUAGUGGCGCACGGGAGAGUAACACGUGGAUAAUCUCCCCUCGAGAGAAGAAUAACUAGUCGAAAGAUUGGCUAAUACUUCGUAAGACCACAGAGACGAAUGUCUCAGGGGUAAAAGUCGUAAGACGCUCGAGGAUGAGUCUGCGUCCCAUUAGCUAGUUGGUGAGGUAAUGGCUUACCAAGGCGACGAUGGGUAGCUGGUCUGAGAGGAUGAUCAGCCUCACUGGAACUGACACACGGUCCAGACUCCUACGGGAGGCAGCAGUAGGGAAUAUUGCACAAUGGGCGAAAGCCUGAUGCAGCGACGCCGCGUGAGUGAUGAAGGCCUUCGGGUUGUAAAGCUCUGUUGUCAGGGAAUAAAAAAAUGAAUGUACCUGACGAGAAAGGACCGGCUAACUUCGUG
This 455-nucleotide ribosomal RNA is filed under the name uncultured organism. Its description in RNAcentral is "bacterial SSU rRNA". It matches the Rfam family "Bacterial small subunit ribosomal RNA", at positions 29 to 507 of the family's 1533-position model. The record is from RNAcentral.